CCUUCCGUAGGUGAACCUGCGGAAGGAUCAUUAAAAAGGGGAGGCUCCCCCACCUCCACCCUUUGUUGUUAAAACUACCUUGUUGCUUUGGCGGGACCGUUAGGGCGCGAGCCGCUGGGGAUUCGUCCCAGGCGAGCGCCCGCCAGUUAAACCAAACUCUUGUUAUUUAACCGGUCGUCUGAGUUAAAAUUUUGAAUAAAUCAAAACUUUCAACAACGGAUCUCUUGGUUCUCGCAUCGAUGAAGAACGCAGCGAAAUGCGAUAAGUAAUGUGAAUUGCAGAAUUCAGUGAAUCAUCGAAUCUUUGAACGCACAUUGCGCCCCUUGGUAUUCCGAGGGGCAUGCCUGUUCGAGCGUCAUUACACCACUCAAGCUAUGCUUGGUAUUGGGCGUCGUCCUUAGUUGGGCGCGCCUUAAAGACCUCGGCGAGGCCACUCCGGCUUUAGGCGUAGUAGAAUUUAUUCGAACGUCUGUCAAAGGAGAGGAACUCUGCCGACUGAAACCUUUAUUUUUCUAGGUUGACCUCGGAUCAGGUAGGGAUACCCGCUGAACUUAAGCAUAUCAAUAAGCGGAGGAA
Molecule: ribosomal RNA, 576 nt
Filed under: Aureobasidium pullulans
Lineage: Eukaryota; Fungi; Ascomycota; Dothideomycetes; Dothideales; Saccotheciaceae
Description: eukaryotic LSU rRNA
Rfam family: 5.8S ribosomal RNA (bases 205-358)
Source: RNAcentral